RNAcentral lists this long non-coding RNA (667 nucleotides) under Lotus japonicus. RNAcentral's name for it is "long non-coding RNA (LJAP_LNC000978)". The record is from RNAcentral. Lineage: Eukaryota; Viridiplantae; Streptophyta; Magnoliopsida; Fabales; Fabaceae.
UAAACUGCUCUUUUAUAUUUUUUGCAGCAACAAUCUCCUAGUCAUCACCAAUCAAAGUAAAGAAAAGGUAUAACAUAGCUCUUUGUCGUGGCAAUUAAUAAUGCUUAUUCUAUUGACUUGCUAUUUUCUCUGACGAACAAUGAUCAGAUCUGUGAUCAUUGCUAUUCAGUUGUCCUUAGAGCUUUUGAAUCUAUUUAGAUUAGAAUGACAUUCUGCUGAAGAAGUAACUGUUAAUAGAUUUUAGUAAAAAUACGCUAUUCUAAUUAUUUGAAACACUGAAUCAAACAUAGGCAUAGUAAUGUUAACCACACCAGUAGCUGCUUCUGUAUAGUUCAUCUGGAUUCUCAUCCAAGUUUUGAGAAACAUAGAAUAUAGAAUUUCUGUCCAAUUCAUUCUAGCACAGUUUAACACAUUCUUCUAUUUAUGUUUGUAGAAACCUGGAGGAGCUGAGUUGCUGUCAAGAUCACUUGUAGGAAAUAAACAUGAGGAAUAAAACACAAACUCUGAGUGAACUUUGGUCUGUGUAUAGAUUCUGCUUCAUGUUUAAUUGUAGUCUUCAAGGGCAAUGGAUGAGACCAUGUUGCUUGAUAUAUUUGUUAUGAUGUGAUCCUUUCCAGUUAUCUUUCAUGAUCACUUGUAGGUUUGCUGUGGAUUGUUGAAUUUAGUG